UACGUAGGGUGCAAGCGUUAAUCGGAAUUACUGGGCGUAAAGCGUGCGCAGGCGGUUUUGUAAGUCUGAUGUGAAAUCCCCGGGCUCAACCUGGGAAUUGCAUUGGAGACUGCAAGGCUAGAAUCUGGCAGAGGGGGGUAGAAUUCCACGUGUAGCAGUGAAAUGCGUAGAUAUGUGGAGGAACACCGAUGGCGAAGGCAGCCCCCUGGGUCAAGAUUGACGCUCAUGCACGAAAGCGUGGGGAGCAAACAGGAUUAGAUACCCUGGUAGUCCACGCCCUAAACGAUGUCUACUAGUUGUCGGGUCUUAAUUGACUUGGUAACGCAGCUAACGCGUGAAGUAGACCGCCUGGGGAGUACGGUCGCAAGAUUAAA
RNAcentral lists this ribosomal RNA (374 nucleotides) under uncultured bacterium. Its description in RNAcentral is "bacterial SSU rRNA". It matches the Rfam family "Bacterial small subunit ribosomal RNA", at positions 524 to 898 of the family's 1533-position model. The record is from RNAcentral.